Molecule: ribosomal RNA, 440 nt
Filed under: uncultured bacterium
Lineage: Bacteria
Description: partial 16S ribosomal RNA
Rfam family: Bacterial small subunit ribosomal RNA
Source: RNAcentral
CCUACGGGAGGCAGCAGUGGGGAAUAUUGCACAAUGGGGGAAACCCUGAUGCAGCGACGCCGCGUGAGUGAAGAAGUAUCUCGGUACGUAAAGCUCUAUCAGCAGGGAAGAAAAUGACGGUACCUGACUAAGAAGCCCCGGCGAACUACGUGACAGCAGCCGCGGUAAUACGUAGGGGGCAAGCGUUAUCCGGAUUGACGGGGUGUAAAGGGAGCGUAGACGGCAGCACAAGUCUGGAGUGAAAUCCCGGGGCUUAACCCCGGAACUGCUUUGGAAACUGUGCGGCUGGAGUGCAGGAGGGGUAAGCGGAAUGCCUAGUGUAGCGGUGAAAUGCGUAGAUAUUAGGAGGAACACCGGUGGCGAAGGCGGCUUACUGGACUGUAACUGACGUUGAGGCUCGAAAGCGUGGGGAGCAAACAGGAUUAGAUACCCGGGUAGUC